AAGUUACUAGAACCAUUGCCCGGCAGGCAGGCCAGGUCCGGGUAUAAAAGGUGAACGGAGCAUCCAAGCACUAGAGACGAAAAGCUACUCCUCGACUCACCACGGUAGCUAAGUCUUCCUUCCCUCGUUCAGCAUCAUGAAGGCAUCAUCCCUACUCCUGAUGAUCGGCGUGACCCUGACUGUGAUGAUGGUGGUCCAGGCCAUGCCCGACCCCUACCCUGACCCAGAUCCCGAGCCGCUCCCGUAUCCUGAGGCUCUCCCAGACCCUGGUUACCCCGGUAGAUACCCCGGCGGACAUGGUCAUCACCAUGGACACGGCCACCAUCAUCAUCAUCACCGUCCUCAUUACCGCAGAGGGUAGAUUCGCAAGUAACACUGAGGCUUUGAACGAUAAGGACGCCUGUUCCUGACGAGUGAAGUGAAGCCCCAUAAAAAUCCUACAACUGUUAUAUACCAAGUCCAUUUAAACCCAUGACCAACACAAUCCCUUCUGCACUUCCUCACUCUGUUCCAAAUACCGCAUGAUUAAUUAAAAGUAAUGAUCAAUAUAUCAGCAAAUAAAAAGAGCUUCAAGCUAUAAGUGUUUCACUUAACAAAACUAUUGUCAAUAUUGAACUUGACAAAGAGCGUAUAUUUAAAAUGUUAAUAAUUCUGGAUUAGUAAACGGAACAAAUAGUGCUGGUAAGUCGCUAUCACUUUUUCCCACUACUGUUACUGCUCCUGAAACUACUACGAUAUUUCUUUGUUAACAUCAGAAUGCAAACUAUUGAUGUCUUCUGAACUCAAGUGAUGUGUAUGGUGCGGUACUAGGCAGUGGUCGACCCAAGCCCAUCAGUGGCACGGGCAACUUUGCAGUGGUUAGUUGUUUGCAAGACUAUGAUGCUGGUGACCCACGUUCAAUCCCAUCCAUGGCGGGGAUUUUUUCAGGCCACUGGAUGGAACCUACCUUUAAUGGGUACCUUAGUAUUAUCCAUCCUAAGGAGGUUAGAGGUGGCGGGGUAUGAAAAUGGCCACCUUAUUUCAUAUGACGUUGACCUCCCCUCCAAGGUGUCGCUACUCACCCAGCCCUACUCUCCUUAAGGCACGAAGUUAUAAAUAUAUCCAAAAUCUGAAAAUACUCAUUGAUGUAUAUUUAACUACUUCAGUUUUUAUACAAUACUGUAAUGAGGCAAUGUUUAUCAACUUGAAAGCUACCGGUCAGAAGCCAAGACAGUCUCUUCUUUUUGCCUUCUGUAAGCUCUCCUCUUUUCACAGAUGAUGUACACUGCUUUAUUAUAAGACAUAAGAUUACUUUUAUAUUUUGUUAAAGUUAUUAUAAGAUAUCAUAAGCCACCGUCUGGUUUCACACAAAACAAUUGAUACAUGUGAACCCCAGUGGUGGUGGCCACGGUGAUGGUGGUGGUGACCGUGGUGAUGAUGGUGACAAAAAGAAUUCGGUCAAGAAAUUAUAUCACGGACAAGCUGGCUCUAGAACUCAGUCAAAUCUAAAAUUAGAGGUGAGAUAGCUAUAAAAAAAAUGCUCACAAAUUUCACACAGAUUUAAGCAAGCGAAAAUAUUGUUGACACGUUACAGCCAAAUGACCAAAACACUUACAAUAUUCCUCUCUGGUGAUUCCAGCAAUAUGAGCAUCAUGGAAAAAUAAUGAAAUAUCUCGGAGUUAUCGAACGAGUAAACUCAAGAAAAAAUUUUCCUUCUUCGAAUUAAGAAAAAAGCAUCACCAACCGGGGGAUGCUUUCGAGUUUUCCCGCAUAUAAAACGUAAUUAUAUGGGGUUUACCAAGCAAACAAAAAAGUAAGGCAUCCAAAAUACAACGAACUGGAAACACCGGAACCAUUGCCCGGCAGGCCAGGACGGGGCGAUUAUAAAAGGUGAACGGACCAUCCAAGCACUAGAGACGAAAAGAUACUCCUCGACUCAGCACGAUAGCUAAGUCUUCCUUCCCUAGCUCGGCAUCAUGAAGGCAUCAUCCCUACUCCUGAUGAUGGGCGUGACCCUGACUGUGAUGAUGGUGGUCCAGGCCAUGCCCGACCCCUACCCUGAUCCAGAUCCCGAGCCGUUCCCGUACCCUGAGGCCCUCCCAGACCCAAAUCCUAGUAGGUACCGCGGUAGCUACUACGGCGGGCGUUACCGCGGACACGGCUCACACUAUGGUGGACGUAGUCAUCACCAGCAUUAUCAUCACCGUCCUCAUGGUUACAGCAGAGUGUAUAUUCGCAAGUACCACUGAGACUCUGAAAGGACGCCUGUUCCUGACGAGUGAAGUGAAGCCUCAUAAAGAUCCCACAACUGUUAUAAACCAAGUCCAAUUAAACCCAUGGCCAACACUAUCUCUUCUGCACUUCCUCCCUGAUUAAAAGUAAUGAUCAAUAUAUCAGCAAAAAUAAAGAGCUUCAACCAAUAA
Eriocheir sinensis (Chinese mitten crab) is the source of this 2402-nucleotide long non-coding RNA. RefSeq lists it as uncharacterized. The transcript is spliced from 3 exons. NCBI's taxonomy places the organism in Eukaryota, Metazoa, Arthropoda, Malacostraca, Decapoda, Varunidae. The record is from RefSeq and is a predicted model, not a curated record.